This 73-nucleotide transfer RNA is filed under the name Candidatus Falkowiibacteriota bacterium. Its description in RNAcentral is "tRNA-Ile". It matches the Rfam family "tRNA". Rfam says of the family: Transfer RNA (tRNA) molecules are approximately 80 nucleotides in length. Their secondary structure includes four short double-helical elements and three loops (D, anti-codon, and T loops). Lineage: Bacteria; Candidatus Falkowiibacteriota. The record is from RNAcentral.
GCUCCUAUAGCUCAGUGGUUAGAGCACUGCUCUUAUAAAGCAGGGGUCGAUGGUUCAAGUCCAUCUGGGAGCA